UAGAGUUUGAUCCUGGCUCAGAUUGAACGCUGGCGGCAGGCUUAACACAUGCAAGUCGAGCGGAGAUGAGGUGCUUGCACCUUAUCUUAGCGGCGGACGGGUGAGUAAUGCUUAGGAAUCUGCCUAUUAGUGGGGGACAACAUUCCGAAAGGGAUGCUAAUACCGCAUACGUCCUACGGGAGAAAGCAGGGGAUCUUCGGACCUUGCGCUAAUAGAUGAGCCUAAGUCGGAUUAGCUAGUUGGUGGGGUAAAGGCCUACCAAGGCGACGAUCUGUAGCGGGUCUGAGAGGAUGAUCCGCCACACUGGGACUGAGACACGGCCCAGACUCCUACGGGAGGCAGCAGUGGGGAAUAUUGGACAAUGGGGGGAACCCUGAUCCAGCCAUGCCGCGUGUGUGAAGAAGGCCUUAUGGUUGUAAAGCACUUUAAGUGAGGAGGAGGCUACUGAGACUAAUACUCUUGGAUAGUGGACGUUACUCGCAGAAUAAGCACCGGCUAACUCUGUGCCAGCAGCCGCGGUAAUACAGAGGGUGCGAGCGUUAAUCGGAUUUACUGGGCGUAAAGCGUGCGUAGGCGGCUUUUAAGUCGGAUGUGAAAUCCCCGAGCUUAACUUGGGAAUUGCAUUCGAUACUGGGAAGCUAGAGUAUGGGAGAGGAUGGUAGAAUUCCAGGUGUAGCGGUGAAAUGCGUAGAGAUCUGGAGGAAUACCGAUGGCGAAGGCAGCCACCUGGCCUAAUACUGACGCUGAGGUACGAAAGCAUGGGGAGCAAACAGGAUUAGAUACCCUGGUAGUCCAUGCCGUAAACGAUGUCUACUAGCCGUUGGGGCCUUUGAGGCUUUAGUGACGCAGCUAACGCGAUAAGUAGACCGCCUGGGGAGUACGGUCGCAAGACUAAAACUCAAAUGAAUUGACGGGGGCCCGCACAAGCGGUGGAGCAUGUGGUUUAAUUCGAUGCAACGCGAAGA
RNAcentral lists this ribosomal RNA (965 nucleotides) under uncultured bacterium. RNAcentral's name for it is "bacterial SSU rRNA". It matches the Rfam family "Bacterial small subunit ribosomal RNA", at positions 1 to 967 of the family's 1533-position model. The record is from RNAcentral.